This is a non-coding RNA of Pelobates cultripes (western spadefoot toad), 370 nucleotides long. The record is from the annotation of a GenBank genome assembly. Lineage: Eukaryota; Metazoa; Chordata; Amphibia; Anura; Pelobatidae.
UGUAGGUGGAAGCAGCGGUGGAGGAGGAGGAUGAGGUAGCCAACACUGUUUUCAUAUAUGUAUAUAUAUAUAUAUAUAUAUAUAUAUAUUUAAUUGUGGUAGCCCCCAAAAUAUUGGGACAUAUAAAAAGACAACUCUGUUUCGCAGAGUAGCUGUUGACAUUAUAGUUGCGCAGGCACUUUGUUGACUGUAGAGAACCUCGGGCCAAUCGCACAUCCCCAUAAUGGCGACUUUGCAUUCGGAUGUCAUCAAUUUCAACUUUUGAUGCCAGUUUCUGCGCCUAUCAUGGUGACCAUGGGUAACGGGGAGUCAGGGUUCCAUUCCGUACAGGGACCCUGAGAAAUGGCUACCACAUACAAGGAAGGCAGCA